AUAAUAAUAAAGCCAACAAUAGUAAUAAGGUAUGAUCAUAAAGGUGUUCGUUUAGGUCUGAGAAGAAAUGGACUCAUUUUGAAUAGGCCCGGUUUGGACUUUUUUUAUUCCACCACUGUUCGACAUUAAUCUUGGUCUAGUGCCCUCCAUAUCCAAUCUGUAAUGCUGGCGGCGGAGGAGGCGAAGAGACGACACUGCCAGGUGACAGCGUGGCGGCGCGAAGCAGCGACGACGGCCACCCUCUCCGCUGCCUUCUCACUACAAACAGUAGACCAAACCGUGGAUCAGUGUAGUAGUAGCAGUAGUAGUAUAUCACAAUGCAAGAGUGGUUGAUGCACGCGUGUGCUUGGAGCGAGAGGCGUCGGGAACUCCAACUUCUCCAAAACUGUUGGCCUAUCUGCGUUGUGGCAUCAGGACAUGUCAAGACGCUCUCAAGUACGCGCAGCAGUGAAUCCAUAGCCAAUGGUGCUUGCUUGAUUAGUGGAGCGCGGCCUGGAUGUAGCCGCUCGGCCUACUCCUCCUGCAGAACCUCUGAUCCAGCAACGGCAAAGCUUGUCCUAUGGAGCCUCGAUAGAGCAUGGGUGUGUCAUAUUCUUUUCCUCCCCUAUGUCAAGUUUAUUCCAUCAAAGAGUAUUUGAAACCUGGAGCUCAGUUCGACUUUUUGAAGAUCCAUGCCAAAACUUUAGAGAAAACCAUGCAUUUUACUCUCGUUAUCAAACAUUUUACAGUGGGGAGUAAUCUCGACACGCGCGAGUGGCAGCUGCCGGCCUGCUAGCCUACAGAACUUAUAAUCAGUUACGGAUGCUUUAACAUGGAUGGACAAUAAUCGUCAGUGGUGCGAGCAUCCAGAUUACCUGAUGCAUAUUUUUGACUAGUCUUCAUUGGCCACAUGCUUUGCUUCUCUAUCCUGAACUCCAUUGUACCUGAUAUUCAGAACCUGUUUCGUGCUUGUAUGAGUUGUGGUCCUUGACUGUUGUAUUGAUUUGGGUUCCAUUAGAUGAUUGCUAGCAUGCAUUAUUGACUUUAAAUGCCGAGCGUGAAAUGUGAAUGGUGGGGCAUCCCUUAUAAUCUACUCUAUUGUUGAA
Molecule: long non-coding RNA, 1085 nt
Organism: Zea mays
Lineage: Eukaryota; Viridiplantae; Streptophyta; Magnoliopsida; Poales; Poaceae
Exons: 2
Source: RefSeq, a predicted model, not a curated record